AACUUGUCCUUCAAGAAAACUUUCACACCAAGAAAGAGCCACACAUUUUUCCAUUUAUACUGACCUCAAAGGCAAGGCAAGGAAACUAAUUAACUCUAUCAGUCAAAAAAUCUCUCAAUUUUAUUUUUCUACUAUAAAAUCUCAAGGCGUUGGAGUGCUUCCUCCUGCCACCCCCCUUCCAGCAACCAAGCAUUCUAACAUUUCCGUAUUUCAUACAAUGCACACCAUUCCAUAUUAUUGCUGAUUGAUAGUAUCGGAUUUCUUGUCAGUGAAACAAAGUCUUCCAUUACAAGGAAAUAAAUCUGACUGAUUCAACAAUGACGGCAUAGAAGAAUACAGACUAAACAGAAUCUGCGCAACCAUACAGUUAGUAAAAAUAUUUGCUGCCUUAGAAAACCAAAGUCAAACUCAUCUAUCUCCUUCAGACUCAAGUAAACGACGAUGCUUACAAUCACUGAAUUUUGAUACCUUAAUUGCCACUAUUGCAUGAAAGUAUGCACUUCCACCAGCCCUAAAACCGCAAUAAAACAAAGGUAUGCACUUCAACCAGCCCUAAAGCACCAGUUUUUAAGACCAGAUGAUUUGGACAUGGUGAGAUUCAAUGGCAGCCAAAACAAAAGAUAUAUUAGACAUGCAAAUGAAGUUGAAAGGAAAACAAGACGAGGGCACGAAGAUCAAGCCCACCAGAUUCACUUCCACAAGCAUGCUACCUGUCGUCAGUCAUUUAAAUACCAUCAUUAACAGAUAGAAUGUAACAUUCAUUGUGCUAGGACAUCCAAGGUAUGCUACACUCCUAAGUGUAUGUAAUCUACUAAUUAUAGUCUUGCAUAUACAUAUCUUAGUUUCAUCUCUUCCCCAAUAGUUUUUCUCUUCAAC
RNAcentral lists this long non-coding RNA (876 nucleotides) under Olea europaea subsp. europaea. The record is from RNAcentral. Lineage: Eukaryota; Viridiplantae; Streptophyta; Magnoliopsida; Lamiales; Oleaceae.